GCGACGCACUUGGAGGAUGAAUAGCUAAGCUAAUUAUAUAUAUGUAUAUAAUAUCAACUAUGUUUGAGUAAAAUUCUAGUUAAUAUUUGAUUAUGACAUUUAUUAGCUAUAGGUCUUGACCAAAUCUCGUGCCAGCAGUCGCGGUAAGACGUGGAAGACAAGUGUUAUUCAUCUUUAAUAGGUUUAAAGGGUACCUAGACGGUAUAUCUAGCAAAAAAUGUACGGAUAUAACUAGAGUUUAAUAUAAAGGAAGGUAGAAUUUAUGGUGUAAAGAUAAAAUAUGCUGAUACCAUAAGGACUAUUAAAGCGAAAGUAACCUUAAAAAAAGUAUAUAGUAGUAAUUUAUAAUUAUACUAUAACUAUCUAUGUAUAAACUGACGUUGAGGGACGAAGGCCUGGGGAGCGAGAAGGAUUAGAUACCCUAAUAGUCCAGGCAGAAAAUUAUGAAUGUCAUAAGUUAGAUAUUUAAUUUAUAAAUGAAAGUGCAAGCAUUCCACCUUAAGAGUAAUGCGGCAAGGCAGGAACUGAAAUCAUUAGACCGUUUCUGAAACCAGUAGUGAAGUAUGUUAUUUAAUUCGAUGACCCGCGAAAAACCUUACCACAUUUUGAAUAUGUUUACAAGUGCUGCACGGCUGUCUUCAGUUAAUAUCGUGAGAGCUAGGUUAACUCCGCUCAAAUUAAUGUAAACCCUUACUUUAUUUUUUUUUUUUAAUAAAGUAAUAAGUCGCUACAAGUGACUAUGCUAAGAGGGAUUAAGACAAGUCAUCAUGGCCUUUAUAUUGUGGGCUAUAA
RNAcentral lists this ribosomal RNA (792 nucleotides) under Lichina intermedia. RNAcentral describes it as "SSU rRNA". It matches the Rfam family "Bacterial small subunit ribosomal RNA", at positions 391 to 1219 of the family's 1533-position model. The record is from RNAcentral. Lineage: Eukaryota; Fungi; Ascomycota; Lichinomycetes; Lichinales; Lichinaceae.